AGUGAACGCUGGCGGUAGGCCUAACACAUGCAAGUCGAACGGCAGCACAGUAAGAGCUUGCUCUUACGGGUGGCGAGUGGCGGACGGGUGAGGAAUACAUCGGAAUCUACUUUUUCGUGGGGGAUAACGUAGGGAAACUUACGCUAAUACCGCAUACGACCUACGGGUGAAAGCAGGGGAUCUUCGGACCUUGCGCGAUUGAAUGAGCCGAUGUCGGAUUAGCUAGUUGGCGGGGUAAAGGCCCACCAAGGCGACGAUCCGUAGCUGGUCUGAGAGGAUGAUCAGCCACACUGGAACGGGGACACGGUCCAGACUCCUACGGGAGGCAGCAGUGGGGAAUAGUGGACAAUGGGCGCAAGCCUGAUCCAGCCAUACCGCGUGGGAGAAGAAGGCCUUCGGGUUGUAAAGCCCUUUUGUUGGGAAAGAAAAGCAGCAGGUUAAUACCCCGCUGUUCUGACGGUACCCAAAGAAUAAGCACCGGCUAACUUCGUG
Molecule: ribosomal RNA, 492 nt
Filed under: uncultured bacterium
Lineage: Bacteria
Description: partial 16S ribosomal RNA
Rfam family: Bacterial small subunit ribosomal RNA
Source: RNAcentral